RNAcentral lists this ribosomal RNA (503 nucleotides) under uncultured bacterium. RNAcentral describes it as "partial 16S ribosomal RNA". It matches the Rfam family "Bacterial small subunit ribosomal RNA", at positions 30 to 523 of the family's 1533-position model. The record is from RNAcentral.
AUUGAACGCUGGCGGCAGGCUUAACACAUGCAAGUCGAGCGGGGUGCUGGUGCUUGCACUAUCACUUAGCGGCGGACGGGUGAGUAAUGCUUAGGAAUCUGCCUAUUAGUGGGGGACAACACCUCGAAAGGGAUGCUAAUACCGCAUACGUCCUCCGGGAGAAAGCAGGGGAUCACUUGUGACCUUGGGCUAAUAGAUGAGCCGAGGUCGGAUUAGCUAGUUGGUGGGGUAAAGGCCUACCAAGGCGACGAUCUGUAGCGGGUCUGAGAGGAUGAUCCGCCACACUGGGACUGAGACACGGCCCAGACUCCUACGGGAGGCAGCAGUGGGGAAUAUUGGACAAUGGGGGGAACCCUGAUCCAGCCAUGCCGCGUGUGUGAAGAAGGCCUUAUGGUUGUAAAGCACUUUAAGCGAGGAGGAGGCUCUUUUGGUUAAUACCCAAGAUGAGUGGACGUUACUCGCAGAAUAAGCACCGGCUAACUCUGUGCCAGCCGCCGCAGUAA